GUGUGGCCGCUUGGAAUCCGCGCGGAAGCUCCUAAGCCGUUAUUUGAAACGUAAACUCACCGGCUGCAAUGGAAAUACUGGUACCUGGGAACCUGGAGCUUGCCUUUUCAAAGCCACCUUUCCCGCCGUCACUUCUGUCCUUGGGGGCUGCCCAAAUCAUCCCCAUGGGCUGUUGGCGGUGUGGCCGCAGAGCAACUCUUGCACCCCUGGGCUGGCUGAACAGUCCACACUUCAUCAGGCCUCUUAGAGGGACUGCACAGUGCGGUGUUGUGCAAAGGAGAAACAUGACAGUGGAGAGGCCCCAAGCUGCAUGGUACAGAUGGGAAACUCAGGCGGGCAGGGAGGAUGCAAAAGAGCAAAAUAUCCAUGGUCCUACUUUCUGGAGCAGCAAUUCUACAAGAAUUGGAAGAAAUGAAGUUAAGUAAUUUCCAAGCAGUAUCUCCCCUCCCUGAUAAACAUGGAGGAAGAGAGAGAAGAGCAGGAGAGGAGAAGUACCCCAGGACAACAGUCCAGCCUCUGAAGAUUCAUCCAGGUUGGGACAAAGGGCCAGCCUCUCCUUUUAUCUCCUUGGUGGCUCCCAGCCAUCCUUUAAGCUCACCAGCAUUUUGGAUUCAAUGCUUUUGAAAGCUGUAGAAGUGCAGGUACUCCCUUGAUUUGAAUCCCAUGCAGAGCACCUUGGCAGUCUGCACUUGCUAUCCUCCCCUGCACGCAGUCCUCAUUUUAGGUGUCCCUGCACAUGUGCUGUAAGCUCCUUGCACCACUCCCACCCCUGCAGCUGUCGCCUCAGCCCUGUCCUGGCUCCCACACCUGUCCCUGGGCUCUGUGGAACUCAGGAUCUUCUUGCUCUUUUAGUAUAUGCGAGCACAUUGCUCCCUCUUUUAAAAGCAGUCUUUGGUUUUAGCCUGCCUUGGCUAUCAACCAUGAGCUUUCAUUGGCUUCACUGUGGGUUUUUUUUUAAGAUUUUAUUUAUUAAUGAGAGAUAAACAGAGAGGCAGAGACAUGGGCAGAGGGAGAAGCAGGCUCUGUGCAGGGAGUCCAACAUGGGACUCGAUCCCAGGUCUCCAGAAUCACACCCUGGGCUGAAGGCAGCGCUAAACUGCUGAGCCACCCAGGCUGCCCUCAAUGUGUUUUAGGGGCCCCACAAGUUCUUUCUAGGCAGCCUGAAACAUGGGUGUCUGUCUGAGUAGGAAGUUGAAGAAGCUCCCAACAGCCGCCAUGUCAGCCCUGGCUCUUGCCAAAAGGAAAGGCUGG
Nyctereutes procyonoides (raccoon dog) is the source of this 1251-nucleotide long non-coding RNA. RefSeq lists it as uncharacterized. Lineage: Eukaryota; Metazoa; Chordata; Mammalia; Carnivora; Canidae. The record is from RefSeq and is a predicted model, not a curated record. The transcript has 3 exons.